RNAcentral lists this ribosomal RNA (465 nucleotides) under uncultured bacterium. Its description in RNAcentral is "bacterial SSU rRNA". It matches the Rfam family "Bacterial small subunit ribosomal RNA", at positions 10 to 523 of the family's 1533-position model. The record is from RNAcentral.
AGUUUGAUCCUGGCUCAGAACGAACGCUGGCGGCAGGCUUAACACAUGCAAGUCGAACGCUCCGCAAGGAGAGUGGCAGACGGGUGAGUAACGCGUGGGAAUCUACCCAACCCUGCGGAAUAGCUCUGGGAAACUGGAAUUAAUACCGCAUACGCCCUACGGGGGAAAGAUUUAUCGGGGUAUGAUGAGCCCGCGUUGGAUUAGCUAGUUGGUGGGGUAAAGGCCUACCAAGGCGACGAUCCAUAGCUGGUCUGAGAGGAUGAUCAGCCACAUUGGGACUGAGACACGGCCCAAACUCCUACGGGAGGCAGCAGUGGGGAAUAUUGGACAAUGGGCGCAAGCCUGAUCCAGCCAUGCCGCGUGAGUGAUGAAGGCCUUAGGGUUGUAAAGCUCUCUCACCGAUGAAGAUAAUGACGGUAGUCGGAGAAGAAGCCCCGGCUAACUUCGUGCCAGCAGCCGCGGUAA